AACCAACGGUUCUCUUCCUCCCUGACUUUCUUCACGCUAAUCGGGAGUUUUUGAUUGUUGCCGCAUCUUUGGAUGAAGAGGAAUCGGCGGAAUCAGACAAGUUGCAUUGCGUGAAAGGAAGGAAAAUUAAAUAAAGGCUGCCAUCCCACAUGAAAUGAUCAUUGGCUCAAAAUAUCUGGCUUAAGCGUCCUUAAAGGUGCGUAUAUCAUCCCAUCCUUGCGAUCUUCACUCGGUGCUGCUCUUCACCAUCUGCACUGCCUAUUUUCUUGCUUUUUUCAAUAGUCGAAAUUUAGCAUGCGCCAUUUCUAUUUAUUUUAGUAACUAUCCCAUUGUUAUCCAAGGGUUCCAGAUUUGGAUUGACUUUCUUGUCUCUCCACGCAGCACUCUGUCUCAUUGUGCCGAGCCUAGUUUGAAAACGAUGUAUUCUUGGUAACUUACAUUGCCUGUUUACUCUUUUCAUUGGCAGUUUGUUUCCGAUCACUUGGGACUGCAGUUAUCACAAUUAUCUCUCUUCCAGUUGAGGAUUUUGAGUUUUGAUGUUUCCUCGAAUGUUUCCAUAACAUUAAGACCAGGAAACAUUUUCAUGAAAUUCUUUUCAGAAUGACUGUGGGCAUCUGUUGAAACUAUUGGCUUGCAAAUUUUGCCAAAUAUAAUGUGUAGCAGGAAUAGUGGAUGGUAUAAUGAUUGAUAUGUUAUGACCUCAAAUGGAAAUUAAUCUCAUAUCAUCCAAAUGUUCAUUAUUUGGGCUGGAUUCAGCAAAUUUAUAUCCAUGAGGCCCAUUGGGAGACAAAAUUCCCAGGCUUCAAAGACACCUAUUUGAAAUGUC
This is a long non-coding RNA of Leucoraja erinaceus (little skate), 826 nucleotides long. RefSeq lists it as uncharacterized. The transcript is spliced from 3 exons. The record is from RefSeq and is a predicted model, not a curated record. Lineage: Eukaryota; Metazoa; Chordata; Chondrichthyes; Rajiformes; Rajidae.